AAAGAUUAAGCCAUGCAUGUCUAUGCACACGCCCUUGAAUGGUGAAGCCGCGAAAAGCUCAUUACAACAGCUGUAGUUUAUUGGAUGUUUAUGUUCCUACAAGGACACCUGCGGUAAUUCUGGAGCUAAUACUUGCGAAAUACGACGACCUCACGGGAGUCGUGCAUUUGUUAGACUAAACCAAUCGGUCCUUCGGGACCGUCAUUUGGUGAACUCUGAAUAACUUAGCUGAUCGCACAGUCUCGUACUGGCGACGAAUCUUUCAAGUGUCUGCCUUAUCAACUUUCGAUGGUAGUUUAUACGACUACCAUGGUUGUAACGGGUAACGGAGAAUAAGGGUUCGACUCCGGAGAGGGAGCCUGAGAAACGGCUACCACAUCCAAGGAAGGCAGCAGGCGCGCAAAUUACCCACUCGCAGAACGCGGAGGUAGUGACGAAAAAUAACGAGGUGGCUCUCUACGAGGUCCAUCAUCGGAAUGGGUACAAUUUAAAUCCUUUAACGAGGAUCUAUUGGAGGGCAAGUCUGGUGCCAGCAGCCGCGGUAAUUCCAGCUCCAAUAGCGUAUACUAAAGUUGUUGCGGUUAAAAAGCUCGUAGUUGGAUCUGCGCCCGGUGAAAGCGGUCGCCCGAUGGGUUGUUACUGCUUCUCCCGGGCUAACCAUUCGGUUUUCCGUUGAUGCUCUUCAUUGAGUGUCCUCGGUGACCGGAACGUUUACUUUGAAAAAAUUAGAGUGCUCAAAGCAGGCGAUUCGCCCGAAUAUUCGUGCAUGGAAUAAUAAAAGAGGUCCUUGUAGCCUUUUGUUGGUUAUCGUUACGAGGAAAUGAUCGAAGGGGACAGACGGGGGCAUUUGUAUUGCGACGUUAGAGGUGAAAUUCUUGGAUCGUCGCAAGACAAACUACUGCGAAAGCAUUUGCCAAGAAUGUUUUCAUCAAUCAAGAACGAAAGUCUGAGGUUCGACAGCGAUCAGAUACCGCUUUAGUUCAGACCGUAAACGAUGCCAUCUGGCGAUCCACCGGCGUUAUGUAUGACUCGGUGGGCAGCCACCGGUAAACCUUUAAGUCAGGUUCCGGGGGAAGUAUGGUUGCAAAGCUGAAACUUAAAGGAAUUGACGGAAGGGCACCACCAGGAGUGGAGCCUGCGGCUUAAUUUGACU
RNAcentral lists this ribosomal RNA (1153 nucleotides) under Trichodorus sp. JZ-2010. RNAcentral describes it as "SSU rRNA". It matches the Rfam family "Eukaryotic small subunit ribosomal RNA", at positions 39 to 1200 of the family's 1831-position model. RNAcentral also lists the same sequence under 1 other name. The record is from RNAcentral. Lineage: Eukaryota; Metazoa; Nematoda; Enoplea; Triplonchida; Trichodoridae.